Molecule: long non-coding RNA, 201 nt
Filed under: Elaeis guineensis (African oil palm)
Lineage: Eukaryota; Viridiplantae; Streptophyta; Magnoliopsida; Arecales; Arecaceae
Description: long non-coding RNA (EGUI_LNC056255)
Source: RNAcentral
UAGCUUAGAAAUCUCAGGAUUAUUCUGAUCUCAGAAAAAUUAAGCUAUGUUCUCGAUCAAGAUCCCGUAAUACUACCAAACCAUCCACUGCUGAGUAAAGAAAUGCUUUUGAGAAGUGGAUGGAUGAAGAUAGUCGGAUCAAGUGCUAUGUGCUGGCGUCCAUGUCAAAUGAGUUGCAAAGCCAGCACGAGCAUAUGCCCA